RNAcentral lists this ribosomal RNA (186 nucleotides) under uncultured bacterium. Its description in RNAcentral is "partial 16S ribosomal RNA". It matches the Rfam family "Bacterial small subunit ribosomal RNA", at positions 1298 to 1500 of the family's 1533-position model. The record is from RNAcentral.
UAAGAGGCUGAAACUCGCCUCUUUGAAGUCGGAAUCGCUAGUAAUCGCAGAUCAGCAUGUUGCGGUGAAUACGUUUCCUGGUCUUGUACACACCGCCCGUCAAACCAUGAGAGUCGCCAACACCCGAAGUCCGCUUUGCGGCCUAAGGUGGGGGAGAUGAUUGGGGUUAAGUCGUAACAAGGUAAC